This 85-nucleotide ribosomal RNA is filed under the name Vibrio breoganii. Its description in RNAcentral is "partial 16S ribosomal RNA". The stretch from base 1 to 76 matches the Rfam family "Bacterial small subunit ribosomal RNA", at positions 1458 to 1533 of the family's 1533-position model. Lineage: Bacteria; Pseudomonadati; Pseudomonadota; Gammaproteobacteria; Vibrionales; Vibrionaceae. The record is from RNAcentral.
CACUUUGUGGUUCAUGACUGGGGUGAAGUCGUAACAAGGUAGCCCUAGGGGAACCUGGGGCUGGAUCACCUCCUUAUACGAUGAU